This 242-nucleotide ribosomal RNA is filed under the name uncultured bacterium. RNAcentral describes it as "partial 16S ribosomal RNA". It matches the Rfam family "Bacterial small subunit ribosomal RNA", at positions 796 to 1041 of the family's 1533-position model. The record is from RNAcentral.
CGCGCGGUAAACGAUGGAUGCCCGCUGUUGGGCCAACUGGUUCAGCGGCCAAGCGAAAGCAUUAAGCAUCCCACCUGGGGAGUACGCCGGCAACGGUGAAACUCAAAGGAAUUGACGGGGGCCCGCACAAGCGGAGGAACAUGUGGUUUAAUUCGAUGAUACGCGAGGAACCUUACCCGGGCUUGAAUUGCAGAGGAAGGAUUUGGAGACAAUGACGCCCUUCGGGGCCUCUGUGAAGGUGC